This 317-nucleotide long non-coding RNA is filed under the name Brassica rapa (field mustard). RNAcentral's name for it is "long non-coding RNA (BRAP_LNC004691)". Lineage: Eukaryota; Viridiplantae; Streptophyta; Magnoliopsida; Brassicales; Brassicaceae. The record is from RNAcentral.
CGGAACUCCCCCGUUUGUCACAUAAAUCAUAUUUGUCUACAUUCUAAAAAGGCGAAAUAGAGUUUGGCAUUUCAGCUUUCUGAUCGAUUUGGGAUAUACAUUUUUUAUUGUUCUAACUCUUUAUAUAUGAAGUUUUUUUUCAGUUUUGGUCCAAAUCUAAUAGGAUUCGAAUUCUCUUAGGUCGUUUUUAUUGUGAGCUUUAGGAUAUGUAACCAAUGGUCCAAAUCUAAUAGGAUUCGAAUUCUUUUUUGAUGUGUACUCUCUUAGGAUAUGUAACCAACGAUGUCUACAUUUUUCAGUUUUGGUCCAAAUCUAAU